Eucalyptus grandis is the source of this 2276-nucleotide long non-coding RNA. RefSeq lists it as uncharacterized. The record is from RefSeq and is a predicted model, not a curated record. Lineage: Eukaryota; Viridiplantae; Streptophyta; Magnoliopsida; Myrtales; Myrtaceae. The transcript has 6 exons.
GACUCCUUGGUCCGGUUUAUACCAUCAUUGAGUUGUUUCGUAUUUGGUGAGCCUCUCCUCUGUAGGGUCUCCUUGAUACAACGAUGGGAUCUGGCGUCCACUAAGGUGGAAAAGACAACCUGCUCAGCGUUGGGUUGCUGCUGCCGAAAGAUGUAGUGAUUCCGGGCCUUCCAGAUAUACCAAAGGAUUGACGUAGUUGUCGCCAGGUCUGGUCAGACAAAACAACCUUAUCCAAAUGGCCAUGAGGUUGAUUAGUCAGGAUUUGGAGCUGGUUGUUAAGGAAACUUAUCUGGUGUUUGGCAUUAAUAAAUUUGGAUCGACUCCAACGUGAUAAAGCGGCAGAGAUAGCUUGUAAUUUUUGGUGGAGCGUCAUGUCUCCAAGUUGGGAAGAUGCCCAAGAAGCAGCUAUUGUGGAGCGACACUCCAUAUCUUGAAGCCAGUAAGCUUCGAAGUAGAAAGAUCUUUGUUGUUUACAACGCUGUGUUGCUUCAGUAGACAAGAGAAGUGGGCUGUGGUCAGAUCCAAGAGCUGGUAAAGCCAACACUUCAGCAAGAAGCCUUUCUUUCCCAGGUCCAUGAGAUGACAAUCAUUGAGGAGAUCACGAAAAGAAAGCAUACGAUGAGUCUCGGCAGGACACUUCCCUACUUUCUCCCAUGGGUACAAAACUUCAUUAAAAUCGCACGUUACAGCCAAGGUAAGACGCAUUGUGAUGCCGUAAUCCCGGUCAGUACAGAUGAAGUCAAGGAUAGCCGAAGAGUGAGAGGUCACCAUCAAUGACACUCGAUCAUUCCAAAAAAUUGCCAAACCUCCAGCCAAACCUAUUGGAUUUUCUAUGAAACUUGCUGAGAAACUGAGUUUCCGUUGAAGGUAGAUGAGUUUCUUUUCCUGAUUUUUCGUUUCCAUCAAAAACAAAACAUCGGGCCGUUCCUGAGUCACUAAGACCAGUAGAGCUUGAACUAUCAGGGGAUUGCCCAACCCCUGACAGUUCCAACUAACUACUCUCAUUGUCCACCUGGUGGCUUUUUAGGGCCAGCCACCAAGGCCCAACAUGCAGGAGCAUCUGCCUCAAUAAUAGGAGUCUCUUGCAAAACAGAUUCAUCAAACUCCUCCUGGAGGUGAGGCCGAACAUCAUGAGCAGUGAGUCUUUUUGCUUUCUUAAUAGGGCUGAUCUUGCAUUCAAACGUGAGUGUUUAACCUUUUUUGACUGGAUAGAACCUGGUGAGACUUUGUUAAUCUUUAAAUGCUGCUGGAUGAUAGGAAAUUUGUCAUGUUCAUUCUUACUUCUGGAUGCUUCCUCCACCAUGGGUUGCCAUUGAAGUGGUUUGGCAGUUGUGAUAAUUUGAUUACAGUCAGGAGCCUCCAUAGGUUGUUUGCCUCUGUUUGUUUGAACUUGGACCUCAGGUACAGCAGGAGGAGAAUCCUAAACGGGGAAUAGUGCCAAGGGAGGUUGAGGGGUCUCUAGGAUUGUCUCAUCAGCAUCAUCUUGGGGAUGAUUCACGUCAUAAAAGCGUUCUAGUGGCAAGCCAAAAACUUGCACCCAAAACUCACAUGUGGUAAAAUCAUAGCAAUGCAACGGUGUGUUCACUUUACAAGGUUUCAAUAUCACCAGAUGAUUGGCGAAUAACCAAGGGGCCACUUCCUCCCAUACUUGAACUGGCUGUUCCGACCACAGGCGACCCAGGCGAUUGCAUAGGGCAGACAGACGAACCUCAUCUCCAGCAACCUUGCGGUCCAUUUCAAAAACAAAAUGGAACAAUCAAACAAAGAAAGACCCAGAAUCGCAAAGGAGAAACACCAUAGCGUAAUCCCCUUGCUCAGCGACCAGACGUGAAGGAAAUGGGUAAGCCAAGAAGAGGGCUUCCGGCAUGCAAGUCGAUUGUGGCAUGCAAACCAGAAGAAAGACGUAGCAAGGGGCGGAGAAGCAGGGGAUAGAAAGAGUAGGUCAGAUGGGUGUUGUGGAAGUUCACGGAGGGAAGCUGCAAAAGUCGCAACUCUAGGGGAAAGAAAACCAGUUUUGGAAGCUUCGUGAGAUGAUAUGGUGACUGGAAAGACUGGUGAAGAAACUACCAUGGAGGUAGAAGAAACUCUACAUUUUGUAGAGAGCACACAAAGCGUUAGUUAAAGUGUAGGAAUUUGUGCAUUUUUUGUACUAUGAUGAGCAUGCGUAAUUCAUAUGAUUGGUAGAAUGUAAUUGAUACGCUUCAUGGAGUUUCAUAUUGUUCAAAAGUCUUUUAAUUUGAGAUAAGGCCUUGCUAGUCUGCAAGAGCAACCGAAAA